GGGGCGUUAGCUCAGUUGGUAGAGCAUCGGACUUUUAAUCCGCUGGUCGAGCGUUCAAAUCGCUCACGCCCCCACCA
Molecule: transfer RNA, 77 nt
Filed under: uncultured Gammaproteobacteria bacterium
Lineage: Bacteria; Pseudomonadati; Pseudomonadota; Gammaproteobacteria
Description: tRNA-Lys-TTT
Rfam family: tRNA
About the family: Transfer RNA (tRNA) molecules are approximately 80 nucleotides in length.
Source: RNAcentral